CCUACGGGAGGCAGCAGUGAGGAAUAUUGGUCAAUGGGCUUACGCCUGAACCAGCCAAGUCGCGUGAGGGAAGACUGCCCUAUGGGUUGUAAACCUCUUUUGUCAGGGAGCAACGCCGGCUACGUGUAGCCGGACUGAGAGUACCUGAAGAAAAAGCAUCGGCUAACUCCGUGCCAGCAGCCGCGGUAAUACGGAGGAUGCGAGCGUUAUCCGGAUUUAUUGGGUUUAAAGGGUGCGUAGGCGGAAUGCCAAGUCAGCGGUAAAAUCGCGGGGCUCAACCUCGCUCCGCCGUUGAAACUGGCGUGCUUGAGUGGGCGAGAAGUAGGCGGAAUGCGUGGUGUAGCGGUGAAAUGCAUAGAUAUCACGCAGAACUCCGAUUGCGAAGGCAGCAUACCGGCGCCCAACUGACGCUGAAGCACGAAAGCGUGGGUAUCGAACAGGAUUAGAUACCAGGGUAGUC
This 460-nucleotide ribosomal RNA is filed under the name uncultured bacterium. RNAcentral's name for it is "partial 16S ribosomal RNA". It matches the Rfam family "Bacterial small subunit ribosomal RNA", at positions 338 to 795 of the family's 1533-position model. The record is from RNAcentral.